CAGUCGCCGCGGGAAUACAGAGGGUGCAAGCGUUAAUCGGAAUUACUGGGCGUAAAGCGCGCGUAGGUGGUUUGUUAAGUUGAAUGUGAAAUCCCCGGGCUCAACCUGGGAACUGCAUCCAAAACUGGCAAGCUAGAGUAGGGCAGAGGGUGGUGGAAUUUCCUGUGUAGCGGUGAAAUGCGUAGAUAUAGGAAGGAACACCAGUGGCGAAGGCGACCACCUGGGCUCAUACUGACACUGAGGUGCGAAAGCGUGGGGAGCAAACAGGAUUAGAUACCCGGGUAGUCCCUGUCUCUUAUAC
RNAcentral lists this ribosomal RNA (301 nucleotides) under uncultured bacterium. Its description in RNAcentral is "partial 16S ribosomal RNA". It matches the Rfam family "Bacterial small subunit ribosomal RNA", at positions 509 to 807 of the family's 1533-position model. The record is from RNAcentral.